CGGAACGGGUGAGUAACGCGUGAGGAACCUGCCUCAAAGGGGGGGACAACAGUUGGAAACGACUGCUAAUACCGCAUAAGCCCACGGCUCGGCAUCGAGCAGAGGGAAAAGGAGUGAUCCGCUUUGAGAUGGCCUCGCGUCCGAUUAGCUAGUUGGUGAGGUAACGGCCCACCAAGGCAACGAUCGGUAGCCGGACUGAGAGGUUGAACGGCCACAUUGGGACUGAGACACGGCCCAG
Molecule: ribosomal RNA, 238 nt
Filed under: uncultured bacterium
Lineage: Bacteria
Description: partial 16S ribosomal RNA
Rfam family: Bacterial small subunit ribosomal RNA
Source: RNAcentral